AGCAGCCGCGGUAAUUCCAGCUCCAAUAGCGUAUAUUAAAGUUGUUGCAGUUAAAAAGCUCGUAGUUGAAUUUCGGGAUCAAUACGUCGGUCGUGCUUCGGUACGUACUGGCGUCAUUGAUUUCUCCCUUCUGACGAACCACGAUGUCAUUAACUUGGUGUCAUGGGAAAUCAGGACUGUUACUUUGAAAAAUUAGAGUGUUUAAAGCAGGCUCACGCUUGAAUACAUUAGCAUGGAAUAAUGAAAUAGGACGUUCGAUCCUAUUUUGUUGGUUUCUAGGAUUGACGUAAUGAUUAAUAGGGAUAGUUGGGGGCAUUAGUAUUCAAUUGUCAGAGGUGAAAUUCUUGGAUUUAUUG
RNAcentral lists this ribosomal RNA (356 nucleotides) under uncultured Glomeromycotina. Its description in RNAcentral is "SSU rRNA". It matches the Rfam family "Eukaryotic small subunit ribosomal RNA", at positions 569 to 931 of the family's 1831-position model. Lineage: Eukaryota; Fungi; Glomeromycota. The record is from RNAcentral.